Xylariaceae sp. FL1651 is the source of this 105-nucleotide non-coding RNA. The record is from the annotation of a GenBank genome assembly. NCBI's taxonomy places the organism in Eukaryota, Fungi, Ascomycota, Sordariomycetes, Xylariales, Xylariaceae.
GGGCUUGUGGUUUAGUGGUAUAAUACUCCCUUAGCACGAGAUCCUCCUAUGAGAGCAUCUUCAUAAGACUGGGAGUGGUCCGGGGUUCGAUUCCCCGCGAGUCCA